Passer domesticus (house sparrow) is the source of this 972-nucleotide long non-coding RNA. RefSeq lists it as uncharacterized. The transcript has 6 exons. Lineage: Eukaryota; Metazoa; Chordata; Aves; Passeriformes; Passeridae. The record is from RefSeq and is a predicted model, not a curated record.
AGAAUUUAACAAUUUUAAUAGAUUUAGCAAAGACUGAAUGGAGCAAGGCCUGGUAUCAGAUGUGCAUUCAGAGACAGCAGCUUUGAGUAAAAUGAAUCACAGCCAGAGAACUGACAGCGUGUGCCAGUAGCAUCAGAAGAGCUCUUGGGUCAGGUCAGGGUUUCUGUAGGCAACUGUCCCUUGAAUUUACUGAAGAAAAUCCCUUACAGGGUUUUUCAGGAAAAAAAUAUUUCCUUUUCUCCGGAGAAAGAAAAUCCAGACUGAAUCAGAAAGAGCCAAUAGAGGGAGUGUAUCCCAUCCUCCAGGAAUCUGUGAUUCAGACAAGCAUGGAACCAGCCCCUCAGGGACAGUCUCAAGCAAUCCCCCUUCCUGAGCUAAAGGAGGAUUUAGGGAGGUUUUGGGUUUUUUUUAAGUAAAACUGCCUCAAGGGUCUGGAGAGCAGAUGAAAGAAUUCACAGACUUCCACAUUUUCUUCCCUUAACACCUGGACUUUUCUGCAUGCCUUGUAAGUAAGGUCCUGGAGCAGACCCAUCCCUGCAGAAGCAGUAAGGAACAAAUGUACAGGGCUUGCCUGAUGAGAGUGUCCCACGAGGCCACUGCCACAGACAAAAGAAGCAGAACAUGAUGGUAAACAGGAUUGUCUCCAGAAGAAACAGAAAAUAGGAGAUAAGCUAAGUUAGCUGCUGACUGCAGUUGCCUCUGAGGAAAGUUAGUUCAAAUAAGAUCAGAGCAUUGGAGAAAGCAGGGAAAGGGAAAGAUCAAACGUGAGGAUAUCAUUCUGUGUUUGAGAUAAUAAAGACCUUGCUGGAAGGCAGACAUCAGCUCCAACAAAUCUCUUCAUUAAGAUGGGAUCCUCUUUGGAGUCAAGAGAAUAACCUUCUGACCUUGAGCCACCUCCCUAACUAACAGCUGGCCCAUACAGCUAAUCCUUCAAUUUCGUGAGCUGACCAAAAUAAAGCCAUAAUUAUGCUA